RNAcentral lists this ribosomal RNA (484 nucleotides) under uncultured bacterium. RNAcentral describes it as "partial 16S ribosomal RNA". It matches the Rfam family "Bacterial small subunit ribosomal RNA", at positions 30 to 507 of the family's 1533-position model. The record is from RNAcentral.
AUUGAACGCUGGCGGCAGGCCUAACACAUGCAAGUCGAGCGGAUGAAGGGAGCUUGCUCCUGGAUUCAGCGGCGGACGGGUGAGUAAUGCCUAGGAAUCUGCCUGGUAGUGGGGGAUAACGUCCGUAAACGGGCGCUAAUACCGCAUACGUCCUGAGGGAGAAAGUGGGGGAUCUUCGGACCUCACGCUAUCAGAUGAGCCUAGGUCGGAUUAGCUAGUUGGUGGGGUAAAGGCCUACCAAGGCGACGAUCCGUAACUGGUCUGAGAGGAUGAUCAGUCACACUGGAACUGAGACACGGUCCAGACUCCUACGGGAGGCAGCAGUGGGGAAUAUUGGACAAUGGGCGAAAGCCUGAUCCAACCAUGCCGCGUGUGUGAAAAAGGUCUUCGGAUUGUAAAGCACUUUAAGUUGGGAGGAAGGGCAGUGAGUUAAUACCGUGCUGUUUUGACGUUACCGACAGAAUAAGCACCGGCUAACUUCGUG